AACGAACGCUGGCGGCAUGCCUAACACAUGCAAGUCGAACGAGACCUUCGGGACUAGUGGCGCACGGGUGCGUAACGCGUGGGAAUCUACCCUCAGGUUCGGAAUAACUCAGAGAAAUUUGUGCUAAUACCGGAUGAUGACGUAAGCCCAAAGAUUUAUCGCCUUAGGAUGAGCCCGCGUAGGAUUAGGUAGUUGGUGAGGUAAAGGCUCACCAAGCCGACGAUCCUUAGCUGGUCUGAGAGGAAGAUCAGCCACACUGGGACUGAGACACGGCCCAGACUCCUACGGGAGGCAGCAGUGGGGAAUAGUGGACAAUGGGCGAAAGCCUGAUCCAGCAAUGCCGCGUGAGUGAUGAAGGCCUUAGGGUUGUAAAGCUCUUUUACCCGGGAUGAUAAUGACAGUACCGGGAGAAUAAGCUCCGGCUAACUCCGUG
Molecule: ribosomal RNA, 433 nt
Filed under: uncultured bacterium
Lineage: Bacteria
Description: partial 16S ribosomal RNA
Rfam family: Bacterial small subunit ribosomal RNA
Source: RNAcentral